UCCCAUGCCAUCUGUUUAGUACUGCAUACUUUUGCAAUCUGUCCAGAGAAUGCCCAUUGCUGGACAGAAAGAUGAGAGAUACGGAACAUUCCCACUAGUGUUUGCAGGUGUUCAAUCAGGAUCCCGCAGGGAACUGACAGGCAGUGGGCAGUAAAGAGAGGAAGUAAAGACAAAACAUCACUUGCACAACAUAUAAUUUAAGCUGUCUUGGGAAUGAUUCAACAAAAAGAAAAUGUUUUUUUUUUAAGAAAUAACUUUAAGGAACUUGUCGGUCUGCUUCACACUUAA
This is a long non-coding RNA of Varanus komodoensis (Komodo dragon), 288 nucleotides long. RefSeq lists it as uncharacterized. The record is from RefSeq and is a predicted model, not a curated record. The transcript has 3 exons. NCBI's taxonomy places the organism in Eukaryota, Metazoa, Chordata, Lepidosauria, Squamata, Varanidae.